AUUAAAAAAUAACGUAAGAUAACAUUUCUGAAGUGCUGAUUUACGAAUUUAAAAAUAUAAAAUAUAAUAAAUAAAAAUAUAGAACGCAGCGGAAGUAUUCGUUCGUACCUUUUUGCGGAAGCGAUUCGCGUUACAACUCGAUGAGCUCGGAUCGUCGAGGUUGAUUCGCGUGUCCUUUGAUCUUCCUUGAUUAAAUCUUUUCACGUUCCAAACUUGUGAUGGAUCGAACUAUAAACGAGCACGAUCACAAAUACACCGUUCAAGUCCCUCUUAGAAUAAUAGGUUGAUGGAGGAUGUGGUUUCUCUAUUUCGUUUUUUUAUUCUCUUUUCUUUUUCCAUUCUGGUUUCUCUCUUUCGUUUUCUUAUUCUCUUUUCUUUUUCCGUUCUUUUUCCUUUUGUUAUGUGGGAUCGCCCAUAUAUUUAUAAGGAAUUCCAAAAUCCUAAUAGCGUUAGAGAUAAGGUCAAAUCAGUUAUUAAUUAUUAUCCUAAUAUGACUAGAAUUUAUCUCUAACUAGUUUUUCAAUUUGAAAGCGAGAUUAAUUCCAAUCCAAUUAGAUAACAUAAUAUCCGUCAGAUCGAAUCCGCUUAUAGGCGUACCCGAUUCGAUUUAACCUAAUGCCAACAAAAAAUAGAAAAAAACAAAAAAACAAAAAAUU
This 656-nucleotide long non-coding RNA is filed under the name Ananas comosus (pineapple). RNAcentral's name for it is "long non-coding RNA (ACOM_LNC004080)". The record is from RNAcentral. Lineage: Eukaryota; Viridiplantae; Streptophyta; Magnoliopsida; Poales; Bromeliaceae.